RNAcentral lists this ribosomal RNA (366 nucleotides) under uncultured eukaryote. RNAcentral's name for it is "partial 18S ribosomal RNA". It matches the Rfam family "Eukaryotic small subunit ribosomal RNA", at positions 592 to 976 of the family's 1831-position model. The record is from RNAcentral.
CAAUAGCGUAUAUUAACGUUGUUGCAGUUAAAAAGCUCGUAGUUGGAUUUCUGGAGGGAGCGUCGGCCCGUAUUUACGAGUGCGUGACGUCUCUGUCCAUCCUUGCGGGAAGGCACGGCAUUGAUUUGUUGUGUCGGAUCGCAUCAUUUACUGUGAAAAAAUUAGAGUGUUCAAAGCAGGCUUUCGCUUGAAUACAUUAGCAUGGAAUAAUAAGAUAGGACUUUGGUGCUGUUUUGUUGGUUGAGCCUAAAGUAAUGAUUAAUAGGGAUAGUUGGGGGCACCUGUAUUGCGUUGUCAGAGGUGAAAUUCUUGGAUUUACGCAAGACAAACAGCUGCGAAAGCGUCUGCCAAGGAUGUUUUCAUUAG